Molecule: long non-coding RNA, 1534 nt
Organism: Phyllostomus discolor (pale spear-nosed bat)
Lineage: Eukaryota; Metazoa; Chordata; Mammalia; Chiroptera; Phyllostomidae
Exons: 2
Source: RefSeq, a predicted model, not a curated record
AACUGGCUUUAAGGGUUUGGGGCAAGAAUGACCCAGAGGGCAAGAGUGUCCCACCAUGUCGGGGACAUGUGAUAGCCACAUGACAUCACAGGGGGCAGGGGCCGCCAUCAUGCGGUAAAACAUUGUUUUCUAGACUUCACUGCAAAGUUAUUGCUUUAAGAAUUUUAAGGUGGAAGGAGAUAACAUUUUCAGAGAACAUGUAAUGACGCAAACAAAGUGACAUAUGUGAUGCUAAGCAUAGGCUUAACGCUAGAGCCAGCGUGGCUUCAAAUGAGGGGAGCUCCCUGCCUUGCCUCCCUGAGGUGGGCUGACUUUUGUCACUGGGCCUCUCUCGCGGCUGGGGCAGGGGAAGGAGGACACGAGUUCAUUUUCCGUGGGCAUUUCUAUGCACGGCCUUCAUCCUCAGCCACUGCUGUGGAGUCAAAGGGAAGAGGGGCUGAUCCGGACCACACCGAGCCGCCAGCGAACAACACCUGGGGGGAGCACAGGAAGUCCCCCAGAAGCACCCCCUGCACUGCUGGUCAGCAGCAGGCUGCCCGGCCAGAGGGCACUCGGGCCGUCCACAGCUCCGCCAAGACAAGCCCGGACCUGCCUCUGACAUGAAUCCUCUGAUUUGUUCAAUCAAGGUUGUGGACUUCGUGAGCUGGAAAACCAGAAGCAGACCUUCUGGGCCCGAGGCAAGAGGUUUCCGAGAACAGUGAGCAGCUCUGUGUCCCGAGGCUGGGCUCCUGCUUAAGAUGGACAAGCUGCCCCUCAGGGCCACCAGCAGGACUUGGCUCGUGCUUCCAGGCACUGGUGUCCCCCUGACCCCAGCUGGUGGGACCUCCUCUACACACUGUUACCCCCCUUCACUACGGUCAUGCCCACUAGGGCCAUGUAACUCUGUUACAGCUGGUGAUCCUGGUCAAGCUCAGUGGCCACUGCUGGACCUCUGACAGAGCCCUCCUGAGAUGCCACUGAAUGUGGCUGUCCAUAUCUCUAAGUCCUGGGCCACAGCUGAAGUGAUUGGAUCUCCUGUGCCUCUGGGCUUCUCCCAACACUUCAAGGUCAUGGACAGACACAGCCAGGAGUGAACCAAAGCUGUGGCGGCCUCAGCUCAAGCUCUUCCAGCUUUGGCCCCUGGGAGCUCUUUUCCUCAGCUCCUGUGUCUCUUUGACAUUUUGACAUUACUGUUUGGGAGGGUACACUUCCUACCUCUUUGGAGACUUUUGACUCCCCUGAUGUCAGAUGUCAGAUGCGGGUGAGACGCGGACUGAGUCCCUCUUCAUUCACCCGGGCAGCUGGCUCCUGGGCCUCUGAACCCCAGGCCUUGGCUGUGCCUCUGAUCAGGGGGACCUCGGAGCUGCCGCACACGCUGAACUUUAGACCUUGCCCUUUCCUUCCUCCUGCAGCCACUGCCCCGUAGAAACAGGGCCCUUCCCCAGCUGAGUGUGCCCGGUUCUGGCCCCAGAGAAGCUCGGUAACCUUAGUAAUGAAACUAUAUCCCCCGUGUGUGUGAAUAAACUUCUUUAGAGGACGAAACAAAACAGAAAAA